Molecule: long non-coding RNA, 1303 nt
Organism: Bombus terrestris (buff-tailed bumblebee)
Lineage: Eukaryota; Metazoa; Arthropoda; Insecta; Hymenoptera; Apidae
Exons: 3
Source: RefSeq, a predicted model, not a curated record
AAGAACGCGUAAAAAGUCGUGUACAGGUUGUUUGGUAUAGUCGAAAAAGGAAGCGAAAAAGGGAGAAGAAAAUGCAAUGCCGUGAAUGCAGCGCGACAUUCCGUCUCCUGCAUAUAUAAUGUCCAUUGUCGUUACGCGUGUGUUGGUGACGUGGCGUGGCGUGGCGUGGCGUGACGUGGUUUACUCCUCGGGAUCUCUCUCUCUCUCUCUCUCUCUCUCACUCGAAUAGGUACGCAGGAGGGAUGGUGAACCGUUAAAAAAUGUCUAGAAUUUCGAACGACCACUCUCUCGCGAGCGAAGAAGUUUCUAAUCAACGUGGAACCAAGACCCUGAUGGUCACGCGUCGCUGCAAUGUAAAACGAGAAAUUCUUUUUUCACGUUGGAGAUGAGGUCGCGACUCCCGGUUCUUCUAUGAAAGACGCGUACGUUUGAAAAACGAUCGCCCAACGAAGCGAUCCGGCGCUUUGCGGAGCAAAGAGGAGUCCUAUGCGGUAAGAUCGACGCCUUAUGCCUCGGACUGUACGUAAAUUUGUAUCAAUUGCCGGUACAGCUGCUUCAAUUUAUUGUGGGAUUAGAAACAAUGAGUGGGGUCAAAUGGUCCCUUCUUGUCAUAAUGUACCAACCCUCGUUGCCGUCUGUUAUGACGUCACUCGCACGACCGAAAUUAUCAGUCGUCCAUUUGCUUUUCGAGCCGCGCCUGCCCAAUCGUCGUUUCUCUCGAUUGAAUCAAGAGAAAAUCAUUGUGCCGCUCGUAUAUGCGCUGUAUACGAGUUGUUCUCCACUUUUAUUCGUUCGUUGGUAGGGUCACUAGAAUUUUCCACCGACGAUUCCUCUCCAUACGAGCUAUACAGUGUAUAACGCAUCGAGCAUGCGUUCAAGGAAAGAACGAUAUCGCAAGGACAGCCACGACGAUAUAUAAAUAUAUGGUUAAGAAAAUCCAGUUUCCCGAUCUCCUAGUGUUGCGGAGAUCCGGUGAUUAGCAGCGUACACGAGGGGUAGCGAAGCAGUGCGAGAAGGAUGAAAAAUAAAAGAAAGAACGAAGAAAUUCUAGCCGAUUGUUCGGCAUGAAUGAGGCACCUUGCUCACUGGCGGCGGUCUUUUCCCCCUUGGUCGCAGGUCCCGUAAAUUUUCCAUAAGGACAAUCGGCACCGGGGUAAAAAGAUAAUCCGAUGAGUCACCACUGAUCUCGCCUUUCCCGUGUUUUCGAGCAGCGACGUCUGACUCGAGAAUUUUUCUUUGUCAGUUACUCUACCCCCUGACGGAUAACUUCGCGAAAAGGUGAAUACAGGUGAAUAUUCCUUAA